UACAGAGGUCUCGAGCGUUGUUCGGAUUCAUUGGGCGUAAAGGGUGCGUAGGUGGCUAGGUAAGUCGGAUGUGAAAUCCCGGGGCUCAACCCCGGAACUGCAUUCGAUACUGCCUGGCUAGAGUACUGGAGAGGAGAUUGGAAUUUACGGUGUAGCAGUGAAAUGCGUAGAUAUCGUAAGGAAGACCAGUGGCGAAGGCGGAUCUCUGGACAGUUACUGACACUGAGGCACGAAGGCCAGGGGAGCAAACGGG
This 253-nucleotide ribosomal RNA is filed under the name uncultured bacterium. RNAcentral's name for it is "partial 16S ribosomal RNA". It matches the Rfam family "Bacterial small subunit ribosomal RNA", at positions 524 to 776 of the family's 1533-position model. RNAcentral also lists the same sequence under 1 other name. The record is from RNAcentral.